This 899-nucleotide ribosomal RNA is filed under the name uncultured archaeon. RNAcentral's name for it is "SSU rRNA". It matches the Rfam family "Archaeal small subunit ribosomal RNA", at positions 455 to 1354 of the family's 1478-position model. The record is from RNAcentral.
GUGCCAGCAGCCGCGGUAAUACCAGCUCCGCGAGUGGUCGGGGUGCUUACUGGGCCUAAAGCGCCCGUAGCCGGCCCGGUAAGUCGUCCCUGAAAUCCACGGGCUCAACCCGUGGGCUGGGGACGAUACUGCCGGGCUUGGGGGCGGGAGAGGCCGAGGGUACUCCCGGGGUAGGGGCGAAAUCCGAUAAUCCCGGGAGGACCACCAGUGGCGAAGGCGCUCGGCUGGAACGCGCCCGACGGUGAGGGGCGAAAGCUGGGGGAGCAAAGGGGAUUAGAUACCCCUGUAGUCCCAGCUGUAAACGAUGCGGGCCAGGUGUCGGGCGGGCGUUAGAGCCCGCCCGGUGCCGCAGGGAAGCCGUUAAGCCCGCCGCCUGGGGAGUACGGCCGCAAGGCUGAAACUUAAAGGAAUUGGCGGGGGGGCACACAAGGGGUGGAGCCUGCGGCUCAAUUGGAGUCAACGCCGGGAACCUCUACCGGGGGCGACAGCAGGAUGACGGCCAGGCUAACGACCUUGCCCGACGCGCUGAGGGGAGGUGCAUGGCCGUCGCCAGCUCGUGCUGUGAAGUGUCCUGUUAAGUCAGGCAACGAGCGAGACCCCCGCCCCUAGUUGCGACCCUGCGGGCGACCGCGGGGGCACACUAGGGGGACUGCCGCCGCUAAGGCGGAGGAAGGAGGGGGCCACGGCAGGUCAGUAUGCCCCGAAACCCCGGGGCUGCACGCGAGCUGCAAUGGCGGGGACAGCGGGAUCCGACCCCGAAAGGGGGAGGUAAUCCCGUAAACCCCGCCCCAGUAGGGAUCGAGGGCUGUAACUCGCCCUCGUGAACGUGGAAUCCCUAGUAACCGCGUGUCACCAACGCGCGGUGAAUACGUCCCUGCCCCUUGCACACACCGCCCGUC